This 399-nucleotide ribosomal RNA is filed under the name uncultured bacterium. Its description in RNAcentral is "bacterial SSU rRNA". It matches the Rfam family "Bacterial small subunit ribosomal RNA", at positions 28 to 424 of the family's 1533-position model. The record is from RNAcentral.
GACGAACGCUGGCGGCGUGCUUAACACAUGCAAGUGGAGCGACGAACCAGGGCUUGCCCUGGGGCAGAGCCGCGAACGGGUGAGUAACACGUGGGUAACGUGCCCCGAUGACUGGGACAACCCGGGGAAACCCGGGCUAAUACCGGAUAUGCCCCCUCACGCGAGUGAGGUGUGUAAAGGAAGCUUCGGCCUCCGCAUCGGGAUCGGCCCGCGGCGCAUUAGCUUGUUGGUGGGGUAACGGCCUACCAAGGCAACGAUGCGUAGCUGGUCUGAGAGGACGAUCAGCCACACUGGGACUGAGACACGGCCCAGACUCCUACGGGAGGCAGCAGUGGGGAAUCUUGCGCAAUGCGCGAAAGCGUGACGCAGCAACGCCGCGUGGGGAAGACGGCCUCGGUU